CAAGCGGUGGAGCAUGUGGUUUAAUUCGACGCAACGCGAAGAACCUUACCAGGGAUUGACAUCCCCUGACCGGAUAUGAAAGUAUCCAUUUCUCUUCGGAGGACAGGGAGACAGGUGGUGCAUGGUUGUCGUCAGCUCGUGUCGUGAGAUGUUGGGUUAAGUCCCGCAACGAGCGCAACCCUUACGUUCAGUUGCUAACGGUUAAAGCCGAGCACUCUGGAUGAACUGCCGUUGAUAAAACGGAGGAAGGUGGGGAUGACGUCAAAUCAUCAUGCCCCUUAUACCCUGGGCUACACACGUGCUACAAUGGUCCGUACAGAGGGCUGCGACCCGGCGACGGGAAGCGAAUCCCUUAAAGCGGGUCUCAGUUCGGAUUGCAGGCUGCAACCCGCCUGCAUGAAGUCGGAAUCGCUAGUAAUCGCAGGUCAGCAUACUCGCGGUCGAAUACGUUCCGGGCCUU
Molecule: ribosomal RNA, 460 nt
Filed under: uncultured Desulfurispora sp.
Lineage: Bacteria; Bacillati; Bacillota; Clostridia; Eubacteriales; Desulfurisporaceae
Description: bacterial SSU rRNA
Rfam family: Bacterial small subunit ribosomal RNA
Source: RNAcentral